RNAcentral lists this transfer RNA (70 nucleotides) under Loxodonta africana (African savanna elephant). It matches the Rfam family "tRNA". Rfam says of the family: Transfer RNA (tRNA) molecules are approximately 80 nucleotides in length. Their secondary structure includes four short double-helical elements and three loops (D, anti-codon, and T loops). The record is from Rfam by way of RNAcentral. Lineage: Eukaryota; Metazoa; Chordata; Mammalia; Proboscidea; Elephantidae.
GCCCUGGUGGUACAGUGGUCAAGCACUUGGCUGCCAACCAAAAGGUUGGUGGUUUGAAUCCCCCAGGGCU